Molecule: ribosomal RNA, 253 nt
Filed under: uncultured bacterium
Lineage: Bacteria
Description: partial 16S ribosomal RNA
Rfam family: Bacterial small subunit ribosomal RNA
Source: RNAcentral
UACGUAGGGGGCUAGCGUUGUCCGGAAUCAUUGGGCGUAAAGCGCGUGUAGGCGGUCCGGUAAGUCCGCUGUGAAAGUCGGGGGCUCAACCCUCGAAUGCCGGUGGAUACUGUCGGGCUAGAGUGCGGAAGAGGCGAGUGGAAUUCCUGGUGUAGCGGUGAAAUGCGCAGAUAUCAGGAGGAACACCGGUGGUGUAGACGGCUUUCUGGACCGUAACUGACGCUGAGACACGAAAGCGUGGGUAGCAAACAGG